This 559-nucleotide ribosomal RNA is filed under the name Kryptoperidinium foliaceum. RNAcentral describes it as "bacterial SSU rRNA". It matches the Rfam family "Eukaryotic small subunit ribosomal RNA", at positions 4 to 565 of the family's 1831-position model. The record is from RNAcentral. Lineage: Eukaryota; Dinophyceae; Peridiniales; Kryptoperidiniaceae.
CUGGUUGAUCCUGCCAGUAGUCAUAUGCUUGUCUCAAAGAUUAAGCCAUGCAUGUCUCGGUAUAAGCUCUAGUCUGGCGAAACUGCGAAUGGCUCAUUACAACAGUUAUAACCUAUUUGAUGGUCAUUCCUACAUGGAUAACUGUGGUAAUUCUAGAGCUAAUACAUGCUACAGAACUCGACUCUGCGGAAGGGUUGCGCUUACUAGCCACAGAACCAACGCAGGCUCUGCCUGAUUGUUUGGUGAGUCAUGGUACGACAAUGAAUUGCACAGCACCAGCUGGCGAUAGAUCAUUCAGGCUUCUGACCUAUCAGCUUUCGACGGUAGGGUAUUGGCUUACCGUGGCGAUGACGGGUAACGGAGAAUUAGGGUUCGAUUCCGGAGAGGGAGCCUGAGAAAUGGCUACCACAUCUAAGGAAGGCAGCAGGCGCGCAAAUUACCCAAUUCUGACACAGGGAGGUAGUGACAAGAAAUAACAAUACAGGGCAUCCAUGUCUUGUAAUUGGAAUGAGUGUGAUUUAAACCCCUUUAUGAGUAUCGAUUGGAGGGCAAGUCUGGU